GGAUUGCUUUUACUUUUGCAUCUUACUUUUACAUUUCUACAUUUUUUUUUACUUCUUUUACAUUUUUUACUUUUACAUUUUUUACUUCUUUUACAUUCUACAUUUCUACUUUUACUUUUGCAUCUUCUCAUGCUUCACCUGGGAAUCAUUUCAAUUGUGAAGUAGCUAUUCUUGUCCAAAGAAACCAAAAGUACUUGCUAAAGAGAAUAAUGUUUAAUAUAAUCCUUAAAAGCAAGCUUUCAUUGUCAAUGAUUUAAGACUAGAGAGUAAAUUCCUUUGUUAAAUUUUGGUGUAAUUGUAGUGAAAUCUUAAGUUGUGGUUUGAUGUGAUUGAACCUACACCUUUUUUUGUGAAUUAGUAUUGAAUUUUCAGAUCUUGACAUUGUAAAGCUUUUUUUUCCUUUGGGGUGAUGAUGGAUUAAUCUUGAGAAUGAUGAGUCAAAGGAAUGAGCUAGAUCAUUUUUUUUGUUGCAUGAAACUGUACUUUGACAGAAAUUUAUUUUAUUUUUU
Molecule: long non-coding RNA, 509 nt
Organism: Daphnia pulicaria
Lineage: Eukaryota; Metazoa; Arthropoda; Branchiopoda; Diplostraca; Daphniidae
Exons: 2
Source: RefSeq, a predicted model, not a curated record